CGAGUGAGCGGCAAAGCUCAAAUUUGAAAUCUAGCACUUUCAGUGUUCGAGUUGUAAUUUGAAGAAGGUAACUUUGGUUUUGGCUCUUGUCUAUGUUCCUUGGAACAGGACGUCACAGAGGGUGAGAAUCCCGUGCGAUGAGAUGCCCAAUUCCAUGUAAAGUGCUUUCGAAGAGUCGAGUUGUUUGGGAAUGGCAGCUCUAAGUGGGUGGUAAAUUCCAUCUAAAGCUAAAUAUUGGCGAGAGACCGAUAGCGAACAAGUACAGUGAUGGAAAGAUGAAAAGAACUUUGAAAAGAGAGUGAAAAAGUACGUGAAAUUGUUGAAAGGGAAGGGCUUGAGAUCAGACUUGGUAUUUUGCGUUCCCUUCCUUUUUGGUUGGGUUCCUCGCAGUUUACUGGGCCAGCAUCGGUUUGGAUGGUAGGAUAAUGACAUUGGAAUGUAGCUUUACUUCGGUGAAGUGUUAUAGACUUUGUUGAUACUGCCUAUCUAGACCGAGGACUGCGUCUUUGACUAGGAUGCUGGCGUAUUGAUCUUA
Molecule: ribosomal RNA, 535 nt
Filed under: Dujonia zeylanoides
Lineage: Eukaryota; Fungi; Ascomycota; Pichiomycetes; Serinales; Debaryomycetaceae
Description: [Candida] zeylanoides partial 26S ribosomal RNA
Rfam family: Eukaryotic large subunit ribosomal RNA
Source: RNAcentral